GAUGAACGCUGGCGGCGUGCUUAACACAUGCAAGUCGAACGAUUGAAGCUGGAGCUUGCUCCGGCCGAUUUAGUGGCGGGCGGGUGAGUAACGCGUGAGUAACCUGCCUCAUACAGGGGGAUAGCAGUUGGAAACGACUGGUAAAACCGCAUAAGCGCACGGUGUCGCAUGACACAGUGUGAAAACACUCCGGUGGUAUGAGAUGGACCCGCGUCUGAUUAGCUAGUUGGUGAGGUAACGGCCCACCAAGGCGACGAUCAGUAGCCGGCCUGAGAGGGUGAACGGCCACAUUGGGACUGAGACACGGCCCAAAACUCCUACGGGAGCAGCAGUGGGAAUAUGGCACAAUGGGGGAAACCCUGAUGCAGCGACGCCGCGUGAGUGAUGAAGUAUUCGGUAUGUAAAGCUACUAUCAGCAGGGAAGAUAAUGACGGUACCUGACU
This 443-nucleotide ribosomal RNA is filed under the name uncultured bacterium. Its description in RNAcentral is "bacterial SSU rRNA". It matches the Rfam family "Bacterial small subunit ribosomal RNA", at positions 28 to 484 of the family's 1533-position model. The record is from RNAcentral.